AGUUUGUUCCAACCAACUAAAGCUUACCUUCAAGGGAGGGACUAUCGUGAGCAAGAUGGAGAUACCAGAAAUUCCGCCUCACAGAUUCAUAAGAAUUUUUUCCAAAAUGUUCUAAAAUAUAUGUCUUAUGACUUUUUUGAGUGUAGUUAUGCAUUUUCUAUUAAGAUUGAUCCUAACUUCAACUACUUAAGUACUUAA
Vicia faba (fava bean) is the source of this 198-nucleotide non-coding RNA. NCBI's taxonomy places the organism in Eukaryota, Viridiplantae, Streptophyta, Magnoliopsida, Fabales, Fabaceae. The record is from the annotation of a GenBank genome assembly.